GCCUCACUUUUGAUUUUUGUGC
This 22-nucleotide non-coding RNA is filed under the name Rattus norvegicus (Norway rat). Lineage: Eukaryota; Metazoa; Chordata; Mammalia; Rodentia; Muridae. The record is from RNAcentral.